This 1587-nucleotide ribosomal RNA is filed under the name Triticum aestivum (bread wheat). Its description in RNAcentral is "partial small subunit ribosomal RNA". The record is from RNAcentral. Lineage: Eukaryota; Viridiplantae; Streptophyta; Magnoliopsida; Poales; Poaceae.
AUGGCGCCGCUCAGCGCCGGCGCGGCCGCGGCGGCGUGGGCGGCCGUGCGGGCGCGCGCGGUCGCCCCGGCGCUGACGGCCGCGGUGUGGGCGUGCCUCGCCAUGUCGGCCAUGCUCCUCCUCGAGGCCGCCUGCAUGAGCCUCGUCAGCCUCGUCGCCGUCCGCCUGCUGCGGCUGCGGCCCGAGCGGAGGUUCAAGUGGGAGCCCAUGACCGGGGCCCUGGAGGGGGGCGAGGCCGACGUGGAGGACCCGGCGGGCCGCCGCGAGUUCCCCAUGGUGCUCGUGCAGAUCCCCAUGUACAACGAGAAGGAGGUGUACAAGUUGUCCAUUGGAGCUGUUUGUGCUCUCACAUGGCCGCCAGACCGUAUUAUAAUCCAAGUCUUGGAUGAUUCAACUGAUCCCAUUAUUAAAGAACUAGUGGAGCUUGAAUGCCAGGAGUGGGCUAGCAAGAAAAUUGACAUAAAGUAUGAAGUUAGAAAUAACAGGAAGGGAUACAAAGCUGGAGCUUUGAAGAAAGGCAUGGAACAUGUAUAUGCGCAACAGUGUGAAUUCGUUGCUAUCUUCGACGCAGAUUUCCAACCUGAAUCUGACUUCCUUUUAAAAACUAUACCAUUUCUUGUGCAUAACCCGAAGAUUGCGCUUGUGCAAACACGCUGGAAGUUUGUUAACUACGAUGCUUGCCUGAUGACAAGGAUACAGAAGAUGUCCCUGGACUAUCAUUUCAAAGUCGAGCAGGAAUCAGGCUCAUUUAUGCAUGCUUUCUUUGGUUUCAAUGGUACAGCUGGUGUGUGGCGUGUAUCUGCUAUUAAUGAGUCAGGAGGAUGGAAAGAUCGCACCACUGUGGAGGACAUGGACCUGGCUGUACGGGCAUGUCUCAAGGAAUGGGAAUUCUUGUAUGUAGGUGAUAUAAGGGUCAAGAGUGAACUCCCAAGUACCUUCAAGGCCUACCGUCAUCAACAGCAUAGGUGGACUUGUGGUGCUGCCAAUCUCUUCAGAAAAAUGGGAUGGGAAAUUGUGACAAACAAGGGGGUAUCAAUAUGGAAGAAAUGGCACCUUUUAUACAGCUUUUUGUUUGUACGGAGGGUCAUUGCUCCCAUCCUCACAUUCUUGUUCUACUGCGUUGUCAUUCCAUUAUCUGCCAUGGUUCCUGAAGUCCAUAUUCCUGUGUGGGGGUUGGUCUACAUUCCUACUGCCAUUACUAUCAUGAAUGCCAUCAGGAAUCCUGGGUCUCUCCAUCUGAUGCCAUUCUGGAUUCUGUUUGAAAAUGUAAUGUCCAUGCACCGUAUGCGUGCAGCUCUAACCGGUUUACUUGAGACUGCGCACGUAAAUGAUUGGGUGGUUACUGAGAAGGUAGGAGAUGUGGUGAAGGACGAUUUUGAAGUCCCACUCCUUGAACCACUGAAGCCCACUGAAUGUGUGGAGAGGAUUUACAUCCCUGAGCUCUUGCUCGCGCUCUACCUCUUGAUAUGCGCCUCGUAUGACUACGUGCUUGGAAGCCAGACAUACUUCAUGUACAUCUACCUCCAGGCCUUGGCAUUCAUUGUAUUAGGGUUCGGUUUCGUCGGCAUGAAAACUCCGUGUUCAUAG